UACAGAGGGGGCAAGCGUUAUUCGGAAUUAUUGGGCGUAAAGGGCGCGUAGGCGGCCUGGCAAGUGGAAGGUGAAAUCCCUCGGCUUAACCGAGGAACUGCCCUCCAAACUGCUUGGCUUGAGUCCGGGAGAGGUGAGUGGAAUUCCCAGUGUAGCGGUGAAAUGCGUAGAUAUCGGGAGGAACACCAGUGGCGAAGGCGGCGAUCUGGGAAGAUACUGACGCUGAGGUGCGAAAGCGUGGGGAGCAAACAGG
Molecule: ribosomal RNA, 253 nt
Filed under: uncultured bacterium
Lineage: Bacteria
Description: partial 16S ribosomal RNA
Rfam family: Bacterial small subunit ribosomal RNA
Source: RNAcentral